UACGAAGGGGGCUAGCGUUGUUCGGAAUUACUGGGCGUAAAGGGCGCGUAGGCGGCUUGGUAAGUCGGGCGUGAAAGCCCAGGGCUCAACCCUGGAAUUGCAUUCAAGACUGCUUUGCUUGAAUUCGGUAGAGGUUGGUGGAAUUCCCAGUGUAGAGGUGAAAUUCGUAGAGAUUGGGAAGAACACCGGUGGCGAAGGCGGCCAACUGGACCGACAUUGACACUGAGGCGCGAAAGCGUGGGGAGCAAACAGG
RNAcentral lists this ribosomal RNA (253 nucleotides) under uncultured bacterium. Its description in RNAcentral is "partial 16S ribosomal RNA". It matches the Rfam family "Bacterial small subunit ribosomal RNA", at positions 524 to 776 of the family's 1533-position model. The record is from RNAcentral.